This 965-nucleotide long non-coding RNA is filed under the name Oryctolagus cuniculus (rabbit). RNAcentral's name for it is "lncRNA (ENSOCUG00000030854.1)". Lineage: Eukaryota; Metazoa; Chordata; Mammalia; Lagomorpha; Leporidae. The record is from RNAcentral.
CUUAGAUCGGGAUAGGCAAGCAGCUAGUUUGGUCUUAGAUUGGGAUAGGCGAGCAACUCGUUCGGUCUGCAUAUCUGGAUAGGCAAGCAGCUAGUUUGGUCUUAGAUCGGGAUAGGAGAGCAGCUAGUUUGGUCUUAGAUCGGGAUAGGCGAGCAACUAGUUAGGUCUGCAUAUCUGGAUAGGCAAGCAGCUAGUUUGGUCUGCAGUUCCUGAUGUUAUAAGUGGCUGCCACUCCACCACACCCCUACCCCUUGGCUGUCAAUUAAAAUGUCCACUUUCCCAUAAUGGACAUGUUGCAUAGAAGACCUGUGUACCAGAGCAUAUAAAAGGAGUUGAAGAUGGAGUAGUGGUCUUUGUUUUCCACCAUGGACUUGAAGGCACUGCUUUUGUCUUUAUGGCGCUGGAAUUUUCGGCAAGGGAGUGUUUCCACUCUGCCGCCUUUCUAUUCUUGAACAAACCUUCCCUCUCACAGCUGAUGUCUCUUCUGACCUGUUAAUGUUCCUUCUGUACCUGCCGACUAUCACACUGCGAGGAAGAUAUUUUUAUGAUGGUGUCACCAUGAUAACAUCAAAUGAGGUAUGUACUUCCACUUAGUUCUGUGAAUUAUAUACGUGGUAGUGCAGUUGGAACACAUAUAAAUAAGUUAUAAUACGAAGCUGUUCAGAAAGCUGAAGAGAGACUAGUUUUUCUACCUCAGCAUAUGAAGGAAAGCCAUAUUUACACCCUAGCAAAGUGAUAAUCUGUGGGAGGCAGUGGAGCAGAGAAUGGAACUAUUAUAACAGGGAACUUCAAAAUUUUGAAUAGCAUUAAAAGAUACAUUUAUUUUGGUGCAAAAAUUUUGGAAGGCAUGGACAGCUUUUUGUAAUAUUCAUUUCCGUUAACUUUUUGGAGAUUUUUGUGUGUGCAUGAAUUUCAAAAUUUUAUAUCCAAAUAAACUUACCUUGCAAAAAAAUUUUUGAAGUACU